AGGGAUCAUUACUGAGUUUACGCUCUACAACCCUUUGUGAACAUACCUAUAACUGUUGCUUCGGCGGGUAGGGUCUCCGCGACCCUCCCGGCCUCCCGCCCCCGGGCGGGUCGGCGCCCGCCGGAGGAUAACCAAACUCUGAUUUAACGACGUUUCUUCUGAGUGGUACAAGCAAAUAAUCAAAACUUUUAACAACGGAUCUCUUGGUUCUGGCAUCGAUGAAGAACGCAGCGAAAUGCGAUAAGUAAUGUGAAUUGCAGAAUUCAGUGAAUCAUCGAAUCUUUGAACGCACAUUGCGCCCGCCAGCAUUCUGGCGGGCAUGCCUGUUCGAGCGUCAUUUCAACCCUCAAGCUCUGCUUGGUGUUGGGGCCCUACAGCUGAUGUAGGCCCUCAAAGGUAGUGGCGGACCCUCCCGGAGCCUCCUUUGCGUAGUAACUUUACGUCUCGCACUGGGAUCCGGAGGGACUCUUGCCGUAAAACCCCCAAUUUUCCAAAGGUUGACCUCGGAUCAGGUAGGAAUACCCGCUGAAC
RNAcentral lists this ribosomal RNA (531 nucleotides) under Colletotrichum sp. Its description in RNAcentral is "eukaryotic LSU rRNA". The stretch from base 184 to 337 matches the Rfam family "5.8S ribosomal RNA". The record is from RNAcentral. Lineage: Eukaryota; Fungi; Ascomycota; Sordariomycetes; Glomerellales; Glomerellaceae.